GGGAGAUUAGUCCGUAGGGGUAGCGGGACGCACUGUAAAUGCGUUGUCUUAAUGGCUCGGGUGGUUCGACUCCAUCAUCUCCCACCA
RNAcentral lists this transfer RNA (87 nucleotides) under Caudoviricetes sp. Its description in RNAcentral is "tRNA-Tyr". It matches the Rfam family "tRNA". From Rfam's summary of the family: Transfer RNA (tRNA) molecules are approximately 80 nucleotides in length. Their secondary structure includes four short double-helical elements and three loops (D, anti-codon, and T loops). Lineage: Duplodnaviria; Heunggongvirae; Uroviricota; Caudoviricetes. The record is from RNAcentral.